Molecule: ribosomal RNA, 333 nt
Filed under: Staphylococcus pseudintermedius
Lineage: Bacteria; Bacillati; Bacillota; Bacilli; Caryophanales; Staphylococcaceae
Description: bacterial SSU rRNA
Rfam family: Bacterial small subunit ribosomal RNA
Source: RNAcentral
GCCCUUAUGAUUUGGGCUACACACGUGCUACAAUGGACAAUACAAAGGGCAGCGAAACCGCGAGGUCAAGCAAAUCCCAUAAAGUUGUUCUCAGUUCGGAUUGUAGUCUGCAACUCGACUACAUGAAGCUGGAAUCGCUAGUAAUCGUAGAUCAGCAUGCUACGGUGAAUACGUUCCCGGGUCUUGUACACACCGCCCGUCACACCACGAGAGUUUGUAACACCCGAAGCCGGUGGAGUAACCAUUUGGAGCUAGCCGUCGAAGGUGGGACAAAUGAUUGGGGUGAAGUCGUAACAAGGUAGCCGUAUCGGAAGGUGCGGUUGGAUCACCUCC